RNAcentral lists this ribosomal RNA (612 nucleotides) under uncultured bacterium. Its description in RNAcentral is "bacterial SSU rRNA". The stretch from base 1 to 514 matches the Rfam family "Bacterial small subunit ribosomal RNA", at positions 338 to 873 of the family's 1533-position model. The record is from RNAcentral.
CCUACGGGAGGCAGCAGUGGGGAAUCUUGCGCAAUGGGCGAAAGCCUGACGCAGCCAUGCCGCGUGAAUGAUGAAGGUCUUAGGAUUGUAAAAUUCUUUCAGUAGGGACGAUAAUGACGGUACCUACAGAAGAAGCCCCGGCUAACUUCGUGCCAGCAGCCGCGGUAAUACGAAGGGGGCUAGCGUUGCUCGGAAUUACUGGGCGUAAAGGGAGCGUAGGCGGGUUAUCAAGUUGGAGGUGAAAGCCCAGGGCUCAACCUUGGAAUAGCCUUCAAAACUGAUAACCUAGAGGAUGGAAGAGGUAAGUGGAACUCCGAGUGUAGAGGUGAAAUUCGUAGAUAUUCGGAAGAACACCAGUGGCGAAGGCGACUUACUGGUCCAUUACUGACGCUGAGGCUCGAAAGCGUGGGGAGCAAACAGGAUUAGAUACCCUGGUAGUCCACGCUGUAAACGAUGAUCGCUAGUUNUCGGCAGNANGCUCGUCGUGCGCNGCUACGACAUAGUACANACCGCCGUCGGGAGGUACGGUCGGCGAGAAGUAAACGUAACAAAGUAAGUAAGUUAGUUACGGACGUGUUAGACGUAGCCGACGGACGACGACGAGGGAGGAGG